GACGAACGCUGGCGGCGUGCCUAAUACAUGCGAGUAGAACGCUGAAGGAGGAGCUUGCUUCUCUGGAUGAGUUGCGAACGGGUGAGUAACGCGUAGGUAACCUGCCUGGUAGCGGGGGAUAACUAUUGGAAACGAUAGCUAAUACCGCAUAAUAGCAGUUAUUGCAUGAUAACUGUUUGAAAGGUGCAAUUGCACCACUACCAGAUGGACCUGCGUUGUAUUAGCUAGUUGGUGGGGUAACGGCUCACCAAGGCGACGAUACAUAGCCGACCUGAGAGGGUGAUCGGCCACACUGGGACUGAGACACGGCCCAGACUCCUGCGGGAGGCAGCAGUAGGGAAUCGUCGGCAAUGGACGGAAGUCUGACCGAGCAACGCCGCGUGAGUGAAGAAGGUUUUCGGAUCGUAAAGCUCUGUUGUAAGAGAAGAACGAGUGUGAGAGUGGAAAGUUCACACUGUGACGGUAUCUUACCAGAAAGGGACGGCUAACUACGUG
RNAcentral lists this ribosomal RNA (495 nucleotides) under uncultured bacterium. RNAcentral's name for it is "partial 16S ribosomal RNA". It matches the Rfam family "Bacterial small subunit ribosomal RNA", at positions 28 to 507 of the family's 1533-position model. The record is from RNAcentral.